RNAcentral lists this ribosomal RNA (492 nucleotides) under uncultured bacterium. RNAcentral describes it as "partial 16S ribosomal RNA". It matches the Rfam family "Bacterial small subunit ribosomal RNA", at positions 29 to 507 of the family's 1533-position model. The record is from RNAcentral.
AGUGAACGCUGGCGGUAGGCCUAACACAUGCAAGUCGAACGGCAGCACAGUAAGAGCUUGCUCUUACGGGUGGCGAGUGGCGGACGGGUGAGGAAUACAUCGGAAUCUACUUUUUCGUGGGGGAUAACGUAGGGAAACUUACGCUAAUACCGCAUACGACCUACGGGUGAAAGCAGGGGAUCUUCGGACCUUGCGCGAUUGAAUGAGCCGAUGUCGGAUUAGCUAGUUGGCGGGGUAAAGGCCUACCAAGGCGACGAUCCGUAGCUGGUCUGAGAGGAUGACCAGCCACACUGGAACUGAGACACGGUCCAGACUCCUACGGGAGGCAGCAGUGGGGAAUAUUGGACAAUGGGCGCAAGCCUGAUCCAGCCAUACCGCGUGGGUGAAGAAGGCCUUCGGGUUGUAAAGCCCUUUUGUUGGGAAAGAAAAGCAGCAGGUUAAUACCCCGCUGUUCUGACGGUACCCAAAGAAUAAGCACCGGCUAACUUCGUG